RNAcentral lists this ribosomal RNA (1470 nucleotides) under uncultured Bordetella sp. RNAcentral describes it as "partial 16S-23S ribosomal RNA intergenic spacer". It matches the Rfam family "Bacterial small subunit ribosomal RNA". Lineage: Bacteria; Pseudomonadati; Pseudomonadota; Betaproteobacteria; Burkholderiales; Alcaligenaceae. The record is from RNAcentral.
GGUCUGAUUCUGGCCUCAGAUUGAACGCUGGCGGGAUGCUUUACACACGCAAGUCGAACGGCAGUACGGACUUCGGUCUGGUGGCGAGUGGCGAACGGUGAGUAAUGUAUCGGAACGUGCCUAUAGGGGGAUAACUACGCAAAGCGUAGCUAAUACCGCCACACUUUCGGGGGAAAGUGGGACCUUCGGGCCUCGCACUAUUACGCGGCCGAUAUCGGAUUAGCGCGAAGGUGGGCAAUUGCUCACAAGGCGAUGAUCCGUGUAGCCGGUUUGAGAGGACGACCAGCCACACUGGGACUGAGACACGGCCUGACUCUACGCUGGAGCAGUGGGAAUUUUGGAGCCAUUGGGAACUCGAUUCAGCCAUCCCGCGUGUGCGAUGAAGCGGCUCUCGGGUUGUAAAGCACUUUUGGCAGGAAAGAAACGGCACGGGAUAAUACCCUUGGCAACUGAUUGUACCUGCAGAAUACACUUUGGUUAACCGUGCCGUAGCAGCCGCGGUAAUACGCAGGGUGCAAGCGUUAACGGGAAUUACUGGGCGUAAAGCGUGCGCAGUGGUUCGGAAAGAAAGAUGUGAAAUCCCAGAGCUUAACUUUGGAACUGCAUUUUUAACUACCGAGCUAGAGUGUGUCAGAGGGAGGGAAUUCCGCGUAGCAGUGAAAUGCGCAGAUAUGCGGAGGAACACCGAUGGCGAAGGCAGCCUCCUGGGAUAACACUGACGUCAUACCGGAAAGCGUGGGGAGCAAACAGGAUUAGAUACCCCGGUAGUCCACGCCCUAAACGAUGCCUUUCUCAAUUGAAGCCGUUGGGGCCUUUCUUGGCCUGGUAGCGCAGCUAACGCGUGAAGUUGACCGCCUGGGGAGUACGGUCGCAAGAUUAAAACUCAAAGGAAUUGACGGGGACCCGUACAAGCGGUGGAUGAUGUGGAUUAAUUCUGAGUGCAACGCGAAAAACCUACCUGCCCUUGACAUGUCUGGAAUCCCGAAGAGAUUUGGGAGUGCUCGCAAGAGAACCGGAACACAGGUGCUGCAUGGCUGUCGUCAGCUCGCCAGGUCGUGGAGAUGCUGGGUUAAGUCCCGCAACGAGCGCAACCCUUGUCAUUAGUUGCUGCGAAAGGGCACUGAAUGAGACUGCCGGUGACAAACCGCAAAGGUGAUGACGUCAAGUCCUCAUGGCCCUUAUGGGUAGGCUUCACACAUAAAUGGUCGGGACAGUGGUCGCCAACCCGCGAGGGGAGCCAAUCCCAGAAACCCGAUCGUAGUCCGGAUCGCAGUCUGCAACUCGACUGCGUGAAGUCGGAACCGCUAGUAAUCGCGGAUUCAGCAUGUCGCGGUGAAUACGUUCCCGGUCUUGUACACACCGCCCGUCACACCAUGGGAGUGGGUUUUACCAGAAGUAGCGCUUCCAAUCCGUAAGGAGUGGCGAUUACCACGGUAGGAUUCAUGACUGGGUGAAGUCGUAACAAGGUAA